Molecule: ribosomal RNA, 2331 nt
Filed under: Triticum aestivum (bread wheat)
Lineage: Eukaryota; Viridiplantae; Streptophyta; Magnoliopsida; Poales; Poaceae
Description: partial small subunit ribosomal RNA
Source: RNAcentral
AUGGCUGACAAGCCCCCCGUCGUCGUCGUCGUCGUCGUCGUCUUCCUCCUCCUGCUGCUCGGCCUCGGCCUCGGCCUCUGCUCCUGCGCCAAUGUGCACAUUGUGUACAUGGGGGAGAGGCACCCGGAGCUGCACCCGGACCUGGUCCGGGACUCGCACCACGGCAUGCUCGCCGCCGUCCUCGGCAGCAAACAGGCGGCCGAGGACGCCAUCCUCUACAGCUACAGGCACGGCUUCUCCGGCUUCGCCGCCGUGCUCACCAACGCGCAGGCGGCGCAGCUCUCCGAUUGGCCUGGGGUCGUGCGGGUGGUUCGGAACCGGGUGCUUGACCUGCACACCACCAGGAGCUGGGACUUCAUGCGGGUGAACCCGUCGCCGUCCGGCGGGAGCGGAAUCCUCUCCCGCAGCAGGUUCGGGGAGGACUCCAUCAUCGGUGUGCUAGACACAGGGAUAUGGCCGGAGUCGGCCAGCUUUAGGGACGACGGCAUCGGCGAGGUUCCGCGGCGGUGGAAAGGGCAAUGCGUCGCCGGAGAAAGGUUCAAUGCUUCCAACUGCAACAGGAAAAUAAUAGGCGCGAAGUGGUUCGUCAAAGGGUACCAAGCCGAGUACGGGAAGAUGAACACGACUGACAUCCACGAGUACAUGUCGGCGAGGGACGCCGUCGGGCAUGGGACGCACACUGCAUCCACUGCUGCCGGCGCUCUAGUGCCCGACGCCAACUUCCGGGGGCUUGCCAGUGGUGUGGCGAGGGGAGGGGCGCCGAGGGCUAGGUUGGCUGUUUACAAGGUGUGCUGGGCUACUGGGGAUUGUACCUCUGCAGAUAUCCUUGCUGCCUUCGACGCUGCCAUACACGACGGUGUCGAUGUGCUCUCGGUGUCUCUCGGCCAAGCACCACCUCUCCCUGCUUAUGUUGAUGAUGUCCUGGCGAUUGGAUCCUUCCACGCCGUCGUGAGAGGGAUCACUGUGGUCUGUUCUGCAGGGAACUCCGGUCCUUAUUCAGAGACGGUGAUCAACUCUGCACCGUGGGUUCUAACCGUUGCUGCGGGCACCAUUGAUCGGACUUUCCUCGCAAAGAUCACCCUGGGCAACAAUAGUACUUAUGUGGGCCAAACAAUGUAUUCUGGGAAGCAUGCUGCGACAAGCAUGCGUAUAGUAUAUGCUGAAGAUGUUUCAUCUGAUAAUGCUGAUGAUACUGAUGCAAGAAGUUGCACUGCAGGAUCUUUGAAUGCUACUCUAGUAAAAGGAAAUGUGGUGCUCUGCUUCCAAACACGAGGACAGCGAGCAUCUCAGGUGGCAGUAGAGACCGUAAAAAAGGCCCGUGGUGUAGGAGUCAUCUUUGCGCAGUUUUUAACCAAAGAUAUAGCAUCUGCUUUUGAUAUUCCCCUUAUUCAAGUAGACUAUCAAGUUGGAACAGCCAUACUUGCAUAUACUACUAGCACGAGAAACCCAACGGUUCAGUUUGGCUCCGCAAAAACAAUUCUUGGAGAAUUGAUAGGCCCUGAAGUUGCAUACUUCUCAUCUAGGGGCCCAAGCUCUCUGACUCCAUCAAUUCUGAAGCCAGACAUAACUGCCCCGGGUGUAAACAUUUUGGCUUCAUGGUCACCUUCCGUAGCCUUAUCAUCGGCCAUGGGAUCUGUGAAUUUCAAGAUUGAUUCUGGAACUUCAAUGUCCUGCCCGCACAUUUCAGGCGUGGCCGCUCUUCUCAAAUCAAUGCAUCCUAAUUGGAGCCCGGCUGCAGUAAAAUCGGCAAUGGUCACAACAGCCAAUGUCCAUGACGAGUAUGAAUUCGAGAUGGUAUCUGAAGCAGCGCCCUACAAGCAGGCGAAUCCCUUCGACUAUGGAGGUGGCCAUGUGGAUCCAAAUAGGGCUGCACACCCUGGUCUCGUAUACGACAUGAGACCAUCUGAUUACGUGCGCUUCCUUUGCUCCAUGGGCUACAACAACUCAGCCAUCGCCUCCAUGGUUCAGCAGCACACACCCUGUCAACAUUCGCCAAAAUCGCAGCUGAACCUGAACGUCCCAUCCAUCACCAUUCCUGAACUGAGGGGCAAGCUGUCGGUGUCGAGAACGGUCACCAAUGUUGGCCCGGUCGCGUCCAAGUACAGAGCCCAUGUGGAAGCACCUCCAGGGGUGAACGUCACCGUGAACCCCUCGCUUCUGACCUUCAACUCGACAGUCAACAGGUUAACAUUCAAGGUGACAUUCCAGGCCAAACUGAAGGUUCAGGGGCGGUACACCUUCGGCAGCCUGACAUGGGAGGACGGCACACACACUGUGAGGAUUCCUUUGGUGGUUCGGACAAUGAUCAAUAGGUUCUAUGUCAAUGCAUGA